This 66-nucleotide transfer RNA is filed under the name Coleoptera sp. 28 KM-2017. RNAcentral describes it as "tRNA-Asp". The record is from RNAcentral. Lineage: Eukaryota; Metazoa; Arthropoda; Insecta; Coleoptera.
AAAAACUUAGUUAAAUUCAUAACAUUAACUUGUCAAGUUAAAAUUAUUAAAACUUAAUAGUUUUUA